CCUACGGGACGCAGCAGUGGGGAAUAUUGCACAAUGGGGGAAACCCUGAUGCAGCGACGCCGCGUGAGUGAAGAAGUAUUUCGGUAUGUAAAGCUCUAUCAGCAGGGAAGAUAAUGACGGUACCUGAGUAAGAAGCCCCGGCUAACUACGUGCCAGCAGCCGCGGUAAUACGUAGGGGGCGAGCGUUAUCCGGAUUUACUGGGUGUAAAGGGAGCGCAGGCGGCGUGGCAAGUCAGAUGUGAAAACCCGGGGCCCAACCCCGGGACUGCAUUUGAAACUGCCAUGCUGGAGUGCCGGAGAGGCAA
This 305-nucleotide ribosomal RNA is filed under the name uncultured bacterium. Its description in RNAcentral is "bacterial SSU rRNA". It matches the Rfam family "Bacterial small subunit ribosomal RNA", at positions 338 to 660 of the family's 1533-position model. The record is from RNAcentral.